AACGAACGCUGGCGGCAGGCUUAACACAUGCAAGUCGAACGCCCCGCAAGGGGAGUGGCAGACGGGUGAGUAACGCGUGGGAACAUACCCUUUUCUACGGAAUAGCUCUGGGCAACUGGAAUUAAUACCGUAUACGCCCUACGGGGGAAAGAUUUAUCGGGGAAGGAUUGGCCCGCGUUGGAUUAGCUAGUUGGUGGGGUAAAGGCCUACCAAGGCGACGAUCCAUAGCUGGUCUGAGAGGAUGAUCAGCCACAUUGGGACUGAGACACGGCCCAAACUCCUACGGGAAGCAGCAGUGGGGAAUAUUGGACAAUGGGCGCAAGCCUGAUCCAGCCAUGCCGCGUGAGUGAUGAAGGCCUUAGGGUUGUAAAGCUCUUUCACCGAUGAAGAUAAUGACGGUAGUCGGAGAAGAAGCCCCGGCUAACUUCGUG
RNAcentral lists this ribosomal RNA (431 nucleotides) under uncultured bacterium. RNAcentral's name for it is "partial 16S ribosomal RNA". It matches the Rfam family "Bacterial small subunit ribosomal RNA", at positions 29 to 507 of the family's 1533-position model. The record is from RNAcentral.